UAAUACGUAGGGUGCGAGCGUUGUCCGGAUUUAUUGGGCGUAAAGAGCUCGUAGGCGGUUUGUCGCGUCGGCCGUGAAAUCUCCACGCUUAACGUGGAGCGUGCGGUCGAUACGGGCAGACUUGAGUUCGGUAGGGGAGACUGGAAUUCCUGGUGUAGCGGUGAAAUGCGCAGAUAUCAGGAGGAACACCGGUGGCGAAGGCGGGUCUCUGGGCCGAUACUGACGCUGAGGAGCGAAAGCGUGGGGAGCGAACAGG
This 256-nucleotide ribosomal RNA is filed under the name uncultured prokaryote. RNAcentral describes it as "partial 16S ribosomal RNA". It matches the Rfam family "Bacterial small subunit ribosomal RNA", at positions 521 to 776 of the family's 1533-position model. The record is from RNAcentral.